Molecule: ribosomal RNA, 305 nt
Filed under: uncultured bacterium
Lineage: Bacteria
Description: bacterial SSU rRNA
Rfam family: Bacterial small subunit ribosomal RNA
Source: RNAcentral
ACCUACGGGGGGCAGCAGUAGGGAAUUUUCGUCAAUGGGCGCAAGCCUGAACGAGCAAUGCCGCGUGAACGAGGAAGGUCUUCGGAUCGUAAAGUUCUGUUGAAGGGGAAAAAGAGCGGAGAGAGGAAAUGGUCUCCGAUUGAUAUUACCCUUCGAGGAAGUCACGGCUAACUACGUGCCAGCAGCCGCGGUAAUACGUAGGUGGCGAGCGUUAUCCGGAAUGAUUGGGCGUAAAGGGUGCGUAGGCGGCCUGCUAAGUCUGGAGUGAAAGGUACCGGCUCAGCCGGUACAGGCUCUGGAAACUG